Molecule: ribosomal RNA, 253 nt
Filed under: uncultured bacterium
Lineage: Bacteria
Description: partial 16S ribosomal RNA
Rfam family: Bacterial small subunit ribosomal RNA
Source: RNAcentral
UACGUAGGGUGCGAGGGUUGUCCGGAAUUACUGGGCGUAAAGAGCUCGUAGGUGGUUUGUCGCGUUGUUCGUGAAAACCGGGGGCUUAACCCUCGGCGUGCGGGCGAUACGGGCAGACUUGAGUACUGCAGGGGAGACUGGAAUUCCUGGUGUAGCGGUGGAAUGCGCAGAUAUCAGGAGGAACACCGGUGGCGAAGGCGGGUCUCUGGGCAGUAACUGACGCUGAGGAGCGAAAGCGUGGGGAGCGAACAGG